AGUGAACGCUGGCGGUAGGCCUAACACAUGCAAGUCGAACGGCAGCACAGUAAGAGCUUGCUCUUACGGGUGGCGAGUGGCGGACGGGUGAGGAAUACAUCGGAAUCUACUUUUUCGUGGGGGAUAACGUAGGGAAACUUACGCUAAUACCGCAUACGACCUACGGGUGAAAGCAGGGGAUCUUCGGACCUUGCGCGAUUGAAUGAGCCGAUGUCGGAUUAGCUAGUUGGCGGGGUAAAGGCCCACCAAGGCGACGAUCCGUAGCUGGUCUGAGAGGAUGAUCGCCCACACUGGAACUGAGACACGGUCCAGGCUCCUACGAGAGGCAGCAGUGGGCAAUAUUGGACAAUGGGCGCGAGCCUUAUCCAGCCAUACCGCGUGGGUGACGAAGGCCUUCCGGUUGUAAAGCCCUUUUGUUGGGAAAGAAAAGCAGCAGGUUAAUACCCCGCUGUUCUGACGGUACCCAAAGAAUAAGCACCGGCUAACUUCGUG
Molecule: ribosomal RNA, 492 nt
Filed under: uncultured bacterium
Lineage: Bacteria
Description: partial 16S ribosomal RNA
Rfam family: Bacterial small subunit ribosomal RNA
Source: RNAcentral